This 403-nucleotide ribosomal RNA is filed under the name uncultured bacterium. Its description in RNAcentral is "partial 16S ribosomal RNA". It matches the Rfam family "Bacterial small subunit ribosomal RNA", at positions 30 to 526 of the family's 1533-position model. The record is from RNAcentral.
AUUGAACGCUGGCGGCAGGCCUAACACAUGCAAGUCGAGCGAGCGGCGGACGGGUGAGUAAUGUAUGGGGACUGCCCGAUAGAGGGGGAUAACUACUGGAAACGGUAGCUAAUACCGCAUACUAUCGGAUAACUCAUAGGGGAGUAGCUAGUAGGUGAGGUAAUGGCUCACCUAGGCGACCAACCCUAGCUGGUCUGAGAGGAUGAUCAGCCACACGGGGACUGAGACACGGCCCAGACUCGUACGGAGGCAGCAGUGGGGAAUAUUGCACAAUGGGCGCAAGCCUGAUUCAGCGAUGCCGCGUGUAUGAAGAAGGCCUUAGGGUUGUAAAGUACUUUCAGUCGGGAGGCGUUACCGACAGAAGAAGCACCGGCUAACUCCGUGCCAGCCGCCGCGGUAAUUC